AGAGCAUACGGUGGAUGCCUUGGCGAUAUCUGCCGAUGAAGGACGCGACAAGCUGCGAAAAGCUGCGGAGAGGUGCAAAUGACCAUUGACCCGCAGAUCUCCGAAUGGAGCAAUCCGGCAGGGUUUAUCCCCUGUCACCCAUAUCUUCGAAUAUGGGAGGGAACCGGGCGAACUGAAACAUCUAAGUAGCCUGAGGAAGAGUAAUCAAACGAGAUACCCCAAGUAGCGGCGAGCGAACGGGGCCCAAGCCCAAACCGGUGAAGGAAACUUUGCCGGGGUUGAGGACUGCCAUACGAACUAGCCCAUUAGCCGAAAUUCCUGGGAAGGAAUGCCGAAGAAUGUGAAAGCCAUGUAAGCGAAAAUGGAAAAGGGACAGGCAGCACCAGAGUACCGCGGGACACGAGAAACCCCGUGGGAAGCCGGGGGGACCACCCUCCAAGGCAAAACACAGAUAUCGACCGAUAGCGCAUAGUACCAUGAGGGAAAGGUGAAAAGCACCCCGGGAGGGGAAUGAAAGAGAACCUGAAACCGUAUGUUUACAAGCAGUCGAAGACCGCUUAAUAAUAAGGUCAACGGCGUGCCUAUUGAAGAAUGAACCGGCGAGUUAUGAGGUCCAGCAAGGUUAAGCAGGAAAUGCGGAGCCGAAGCGAAAGCGAGUCUUAAUAGGGCGACAAGUUGGAUUGCAUAGACCCGAAACCACAGUGAUCUACCCAUGUCCAGGCUGAAGCACAGGUAAAAAUGUGUGGAGGGCCGAACCUAUAUCCGUUGAAAAGGGUUAGGAUGAGGUGUGGGUAGGGGUGAAAUUCCAAUCGAACGUGGAGAUAGCUGGUUCUCCCCGAAAUAGCUUUAGGGCUAGCCUCGAGGUAGAGAUUGCAGGCGGUAGAGCACUGAUCAGGAGAGGGGCCUACCCGGCUACCAAACCCAGUCAAACUACGAAUGGCUGCAAUUAUACUCGGGAGUCAGACUACGACUUAUAAGGGCCGUGGUCAAAAGGGAAACAGCCCAGAUCAUCAGCUAAGGUCCCAAAUGCCGUGCUAAGUGGCGAAGGAUGUGGCGUUUCAUAAACAACCAGGAUGUUGGCUCAGAAGCAGCCACCAUUUAAAGAGUGCGUAAUAGCUCACUGGUCGAGAGACGCUGCGCCGAAAAUGUCCGGGGCUCAAGCACGGAACCGAAGCUAUGGCAUUGACUAUGUCAAUGGGUAGGGGAGCGUUCUUAACAGGAAGAAGCAUGACCGAAAGGACAUGUGGACCGUUAAGAAGUGAGAAUGCCGGUAUGAGUAUCGAAAAGAAAGGUGAGAAUCCUUUCCACCGAAAGCCCGAGGGUUCCUGAGCAACGAUCGUCGUCUCAGGGUAAGUCGGGACCUAAGCCGAGGCGGAGACGCAUAGGCGAUGGACAACAGGUUGAAAUUCCUGUACCGGAUACAAUCGUUUGAGCGAUGGAGCGACGCAGAAAGGCAUAUGAUCGCGCGACUGGAAGAGCGCGUCCAAGUGCGUAUGUUGAAUCGGAGGCAAAUCCCUGAUUCUGAAAGCAGAGACACGAUGGGGAGUUAUACGAAAGUAUGACGAACUCAUAGAUCCUACACUGCCAAGAAAAACUUCUAGUGAGAAAGUAUCCGCCCGUACCGUAAACCGACACAGGUAGGCGGGGAGAGAAUCCUAAGGUGCGCGGGAAAACCCUCGUUAAGGAACUCGGCAAAUUGCAUCCGUAACUUAGGGAGAAGGAUGACCUUAAGUAAGCGAAAGGGAGAAACCCCUGGAACAGAACAAGGUGGCAGAAAAGAGGCCCAAGCAACUGUUUACCAAAAACACAGGUGCCUGCGAAAGCGAAAGCUGAAGUAUAGGUGCUGACGCCUGCCCGGUGCUGGAAGGUUAAGGAGAGAUGUCAGAGCAAUCGAAGCAUUGAACUGAAGCCCCAGUGAACGGCGGCCGUAACUAUAACGGUCCUAAGGUAGCGAAAUUCCUUGUCGGGUAAGUUCCGACCCGCAUGAAAGGCGUAAUGAUUUGGGCACUGUCUCAACGAGGGGCCCGGUGAAAUUGAAAUACCUGUGAAGAUGCAGGUUACCCGCGACUGGACAGAAAGACCCCAUGGAGCUUCACUGCAGCUUGAGAUUGAAUCUCGGUGAUGCAUGCACAGGAUAGGUGGGAGACUUUGAAGUAUGGGCUUUGGCUUAUACCGAGUCGAUGUUGGGAUACCACCCUUGUAUUGCUGAGAUUCUAACACGGAGGCUAACAACCUCGUGGACCAUCUCAGGUAGGCGGUUUGACUGGGGCGGUCGCCUCCGAAAGAGUAACGGAGG
Molecule: ribosomal RNA, 2296 nt
Filed under: human gut metagenome
Description: bacterial LSU rRNA
Rfam family: Bacterial large subunit ribosomal RNA
Source: RNAcentral